UUGGAGGGCAAGUCUGGUGCCAGCAGCCGCGGUAAUUCCAGCUCCAAUAGCGUAUAUUAAAGUUGUUGUGGUUAAAAAGCUCGUAGUUGAACCUUGGGCCUGGCUGGCCGGUCCGCCUCACCGCGUGUACUGGUCCGGCCGGGCCUUUCCCUCUGUGGAACCUCAUGCCCUUCACUGGGUGUGGCGGGGAAACAGGACUUUUACUUUGAAAAGAUUAGAGUGCUCCAGGCAGGCCUAUGCUCGAAUACAUUAGCAUGGAAUAAUAAAAUAGGACGCG
This 277-nucleotide ribosomal RNA is filed under the name uncultured Ascomycota. RNAcentral's name for it is "partial 18S ribosomal RNA". It matches the Rfam family "Eukaryotic small subunit ribosomal RNA", at positions 548 to 831 of the family's 1831-position model. Lineage: Eukaryota; Fungi; Ascomycota. The record is from RNAcentral.